Quercus lobata is the source of this 718-nucleotide long non-coding RNA. RefSeq lists it as uncharacterized. The transcript has 3 exons. NCBI's taxonomy places the organism in Eukaryota, Viridiplantae, Streptophyta, Magnoliopsida, Fagales, Fagaceae. The record is from RefSeq and is a predicted model, not a curated record.
UGUAUUACUUAUCAUUGGAUUACUUCAAGAUUGCAGUUAUUAUUGAGCUACACUAAUUUUAUUUUCUUGAGUUUUCUUUCUUUUUCAAUUUUUUUUUUACUUGAAAUUUUCUGGGUGUAGAUCAACUGGAACCAUAACUUGAAUGUAUCUGCAAGUGUUGAUUGGCUGUACGUAUCACCAUUCACAAUGCAUCAAGAAUCUUGACAAUUCAUCCCCUUUUCAAAUCUUAUGUUAUGGUUUCCUAACUUAAAGUCUCUGUAGCGAUGACUUCAGCACUUUUCCAGAUAAUGGGGUACACAUCUAUGAUUAGCUUUACAUACUGAUUAUCAUCAUAUAUAUCUCGAUUUGAAUGUUCAAACUUUAGUAUCAAUGACACAAACAAAGAAAUUCAGUCUUUAGACUUCUGCAAGAAAUUGAAGAGCUAAAUAAAGAAGAACCACUUGUUUUGAUGCAUUUUCUUCUGAGAUCAAGUUAUGGAUUUUGACUUGAGCCAGAAGAUAAAGAGCCCAAUAAAGAAGAGCAACUUGAUGUUUGAUUUUGAUGGAUUUUUUUCCCUCAGAUCAAGUUAAGGGUUUUGGUAAGCCAUAUUACUAUUUCUGAGUUUUCUUUCUUUUGUAUAUUGUUUAUUUUUAUACCUAAAAAAUCAAUAAUUGUUCUUAAGAAUACUGGUUUGAAGAAUGAAUGAUUUCCCUUCUCUGGCCCUCACUAAACAACCUUA